UGUAUCUCUUACAGGAACGGUGAAUAAGGCCUUCCUUUUUAGGAAGUGGAAGGCAAACAGAAGCUGUCUUUUGUUUCAAAGUUCUUUAAAUUCCCCACCCUCUGGUCCUGGUUGACAUCAGCAAGGCUGCCAUGGAAGAAAGGAGAAAGGAGAAGUAACUGGGGCAUGAGAUUUGCCCAUAAGAGGGACAGCAGUGUUAGCCACUCCAUUUUCCUGACUUCCGGCAGCCGUGUUUGCUCGUACUUGGAAAGCCAUCUACCUAGAGCUUCCCUGCCAAGGUCUUUCUCAUCCUUCCUGGACCAACAUCCAUAUUCUCCCUCUCUGGGGAUUUCUUCUAGCCAGGUUCCAGAAACCAGAACCUUCCCACCUCCCACUUAAGAGUAACUAACGGCCUCCUCCGGCUGUGGAAUUAUCCUGAUCACUGACAUGGAAUGAUGUUUCCUUGGCUCCGGCACUUCUCACUUGGUUGUUGCCCCUGCCUGUGUUCGUUCCCCAGGUCAGACCACAAGAUUAAAAGAAUAAGGACAGGAGUAACUGGAGAGGAUCGCUGUGGGCCCAGGAAUCUGAGCUCUGAACUGCACAACAAUCGAAGAGUGAUUAUCCACCGUACAUCUGCUAGAGAAGAAGAUAAUUUCUACCAGUGUUUACUGCCUGUCAGGUUCUGGGCUACCCACGUCUUAUGUGUAUUAUCUCACUGCAUCUUCUCAGUGACUAUAUUUACAGAUAGAAAAAUUGAACUUUAGAAGAGUAAUAUAUGGAACAAGAAUGCAAUUUCACAAUUCAUAAAUGGUGGGGCUUAGAAUCUGUUAUGGACUAGAUUGUGUCCCCACCCCCAAAUUUAUAUGUUGGAGCCCUAACCCUCAAUGUGACUAUAUGCAGAGAUAGAGCCUUUAAGAAGAUAAUUAAGAUUAAAUGAAGCCCUAAUCCAAUGGGACUAGUAUCCUUUUUUUGUUUUAAAGAUUUUACUUUAUUAUUUGAGAGAGAGAGCAAGAGAGUGCUCA
Canis lupus familiaris (dog) is the source of this 1001-nucleotide long non-coding RNA. RefSeq lists it as uncharacterized. The transcript has 4 exons. The record is from RefSeq and is a predicted model, not a curated record. Lineage: Eukaryota; Metazoa; Chordata; Mammalia; Carnivora; Canidae.